This is a long non-coding RNA of Cannabis sativa, 582 nucleotides long. RefSeq lists it as uncharacterized. Lineage: Eukaryota; Viridiplantae; Streptophyta; Magnoliopsida; Rosales; Cannabaceae. The transcript is spliced from 2 exons. The record is from RefSeq and is a predicted model, not a curated record.
UUACUCUCUCUCUCUCUCUCUCUCUCUCUCUCUCUCUCUCUCUCUCUCUCUCUCUCUCUCUCUCUCUCUCGUCUUCUUCCUUCCUUCUUCAUCUUCAGUGCUCUCUCUCUCUCUCAUCAAAAUCAAAAUGAAACCCCCUGCCUUCUCCCUCUCGCCCCUGCCUUCUCAGGUAUGGAUUCAUGUUUGGAAGAGAAUUAACUCAGAAAGAGCUCGGCGAUGUGAUUGAAAGUCUUCACCAUGGAGAUCCAGAUCCAAGUCCUCCUCCGCCACAUUCUUGAUUCUAUCAAAACUUUGAGUCGUACGUCGAGAGCCUUUCACCAUGGUGAGCUUUCAGAUCUGGGUCCUGUUUAGUAGGAUCUUUACCAGUGAGGUUUCUUCUCAGGUGAAGGUUCGUAUGCUAUGGUGGAGAUUGGGGAUUUCUAGGGCUCCGAGAUUUGAUCUUCUCCAGUUUUGUUCGAAGCUUCUCCAGUUCCUAGGCGUCUCUCCCAUGCGUUUGAAUCGAUCGAUUCGUCUGUUUGUCUCUCCUGCAUUUGAGUGGAUCUAAACCUCAAAAAAAAAAAAAAAUAGAGAGAGAAGAAGAAC